This 253-nucleotide ribosomal RNA is filed under the name uncultured bacterium. Its description in RNAcentral is "partial 16S ribosomal RNA". It matches the Rfam family "Bacterial small subunit ribosomal RNA", at positions 524 to 776 of the family's 1533-position model. The record is from RNAcentral.
UACGUAGGGGGCAAGCGUUGUCCGGAUUUACUGGGCGUAAAGAGCGUGUAGGCGGCCACGCAGGUCCGUUGUGAAAACUGGAGGCUCAACCUCCAGCUGUCGACGGAAACCGUGUGGCUAGAGUCCGGAAGAGGAGAAUGGAAUUCCUGGUGUAGCGGUGAAAUGCGCAGAUAUCAGGAAGAACACCAAUGGCGAAGGCAGCUCUCUGGGACGGUACUGACGCUGAGACGCGAAAGCGUGGGGAGCGAACAGG